UACGUAGGUGGCAAGCGUUGUCCGGAUUUAUUGGGUUUAAAGGGUGCGUAGGCGGCUUUGUAAGUCAGUGGUGAAAUAUGGCAGCUUAACUGUCAAGGUGCCAUUGAUACUGCAGAGCUUGAGUACAGAUGAGGUAGGCGGAAUUGACGGUGUAGCGGUGAAAUUCGUAGAUAUUGGGAAGAACACCGAUGGCGAAGGCAGCCAUCUGGACCGACACUGACGCUGAGGCGCGAAAGCGUGGGGAGCAAACAGG
RNAcentral lists this ribosomal RNA (253 nucleotides) under uncultured bacterium. RNAcentral describes it as "partial 16S ribosomal RNA". It matches the Rfam family "Bacterial small subunit ribosomal RNA", at positions 524 to 776 of the family's 1533-position model. The record is from RNAcentral.